CCCUUAGAUGUUCUGGGCUGCACGCGUGCUACACUGAUAUUGCCAAUAUGUCAUUCUUAUCCGAAAUGGAUUGGGUAAUCAAGUAAUGAAAUUUCAUGCUUGGAAUCGGUAAUUGCAAUUUUAUCGUGAACGAGGAAUUCCUAGUAAGCACUAGUCAUCAGCUAAUGUUGAUUAUGUCCCUGCCCUUUGUACACACCGCCCGUCGCUACUACCGAUUGAACGGUUUAGUGAGGGCCUCGGAUUGGUCUCGGCCCGCUCUUUACCGGGCGGUGCCGUUGGUCGAGAAGACGCUCGAACUUGAUCGUUUAGAGGAAGUAAAAGUCGUAACA
RNAcentral lists this ribosomal RNA (329 nucleotides) under uncultured eukaryote. RNAcentral's name for it is "partial 18S ribosomal RNA". It matches the Rfam family "Eukaryotic small subunit ribosomal RNA", at positions 1470 to 1796 of the family's 1831-position model. The record is from RNAcentral.